Molecule: unclassified non-coding RNA, 230 nt
Filed under: Hevea brasiliensis (rubber tree)
Lineage: Eukaryota; Viridiplantae; Streptophyta; Magnoliopsida; Malpighiales; Euphorbiaceae
Source: RNAcentral
GGUAGACAAAGUUCUGUACCAUAAAUCUAAUUUGAAGAUUUAAAAUAUAUUUAGUGUUGUAGCUUCUCUUUUGCCAAAUUCACCGAAGAUACAAUCACCGUGUUCAUUUGUGAUCCUUUCUAUUCAAAAGAAGUUUUGAAAUGUAGCAUAGCAAUCAUGAUCAUGUAGGAUUCCAGGUGUUUGAGGUGUGUAAUCGCUCCCUGCAAUUCCCCAUUGCUACGGAAAAUCUC